AUGACUGCACAGCCGCUUUAUUUCAUUUUACAUCUUGCGUCUCUUAUGUUUCUUCCUUCUUUAGGGCCGUGAUGAAGAGUGCUUCAUAAUUCUGACACCUCUUGUAUGAGAGGAGCUUUUCGGAGCUCUUCUUUGAGCACAUACAGCAACUCUCUGAGCCAUCUUUUUAAUAUUUUUAUUUUCUUUUGGGAUUCUUGACGUUUUAGCAAGAAACUACGAAAGAUAUCUUCUCUCUGUAGUGAUCCCAGAUUUCUUUUAUCUUGAAAGAAGAUUUAAAAUUAAUAGCUUUAUGCCUGAUAUAAUUUGGUUUGAUAUAUUUCACUGGCAAAGCAUGAAAAAAUUGUUUUAUUAUGGAUCAUAACAGCUGUGAUGUGUCCUUGACAUGAGCCGAACCACUGGUUCAAUGCAUUUUUUUCCAGAUACUUUACGUUUGCUGUUGCAAGCUAUCAGGCAGGCCAUCUUUAAACAGUUCCUGCCCUCCUGCAUUUCUCCAUUGACCAUUUCUUUAAACCUCUGUUUUUGAGACAGGAAAGCCAAAUCAUGAUGCCAGACCCUACUCACUGUGAACAAUGAAUGCUUGGAACUUACCUUUAAGAUAAGAAACGGUGUCCAUUGGAUUUCCACCAGAAAAUCCUGGACCUGAACAGAUGGUGGCCGGUUUUAACCCUUUCUCCUCUGCUCUUUUUCAGCCGGCUGUCUGCCCUUGGCUUUCCCAAGGCAUCCCAGCAUAUUCCAAGGCUCAUCCACUACAUUUGGUUUUUUAACACCGGUAAAUUUAACGAAGUAACCAUCUAAGUUCCCUUUGAUGCGAGUAAGAAGUAUAUUUUGACAAAAAAAAGGGAGCAAGCACAGCAUUAUGCAAAAACUAAAAAAUUGAUGUAUUUGUUUAAUUUAAUGAAUAAAAAUUACACGAGUUAAUAUAUUAAUAUUAAUUAUAUGACAAGGGAGCUUUUGAUUUUUCGAUUUAAUUAUAUGACAAUGAAAGAAAUAUAUCGAUUUUUGAUUGUCGAAUAAGAGAUAUAUAAAAUAUUAAUUUGUUGUUUCGAUGAUUUGACAUCCUUUUAUAAAAUUAUCGAAAAGCUAUUAAAAAAACAUAAUAUUAUAUAUUUUUCUAAAGGUUUUAACAUUUUGACAUCUCUCCAAAUUUCAGUGUCGAUAUACAUCAAAUGAAACUUAACAAAUGAAGAACUUUCAAGGAUGCGAAGUAACUGAAACUGUGUCCCAAAGGAGAACUGAUCCCUGGAACCUCAUGAGCUGCCGGUCUUCUCAAGAACUGGAUGCGUUUGUGUUAAAAAAUCACCACUUGUCAGAAGUUUCUGACUCUAAGAAAACUGAAAACAUCAAUAUUUUUCAUGUUA
This is a long non-coding RNA of Populus nigra (black poplar), 1358 nucleotides long. RefSeq lists it as uncharacterized. NCBI's taxonomy places the organism in Eukaryota, Viridiplantae, Streptophyta, Magnoliopsida, Malpighiales, Salicaceae. The transcript has 2 exons. The record is from RefSeq and is a predicted model, not a curated record.